This 73-nucleotide transfer RNA is filed under the name Neotoma lepida (desert woodrat). It matches the Rfam family "tRNA". From Rfam's summary of the family: Transfer RNA (tRNA) molecules are approximately 80 nucleotides in length. Their secondary structure includes four short double-helical elements and three loops (D, anti-codon, and T loops). Lineage: Eukaryota; Metazoa; Chordata; Mammalia; Rodentia; Cricetidae. The record is from Rfam by way of RNAcentral.
GGGGACAUGGUUCAGUGGGCAAGAACAAUUGUUUUGCAAGCAUGAAGAUCUGAGUUCAAAUCCCAGGCACUCA